This is a long non-coding RNA of Polyodon spathula (Mississippi paddlefish), 306 nucleotides long. RefSeq lists it as uncharacterized. The transcript has 3 exons. NCBI's taxonomy places the organism in Eukaryota, Metazoa, Chordata, Actinopteri, Acipenseriformes, Polyodontidae. The record is from RefSeq and is a predicted model, not a curated record.
UCGCGAUAGUGCCUGCUACAAUAGCUACUGAUCUGCAUAACAUCACAUAGACUGACAGUGGGAAACUGAUUCUUGUAAAAGAAUAAAACAGAUACAGAUUCAACGCUGAGGUUUGAUGUCUUGAUAACGGCAAUCUCAUCUCAAGCCCCUUUCCAAGGGAACACGUGUGUCCACAUCGCUCACCCACAGGAGAUGAGUAGAAUCUUUGCAGUUGAAUUUAAAGUUGACUGCAGUAUACAGUUGUUAAAGCUGACACCCUGGGAUCCUUGAAGAAGCUGCUUGAUGAGAUUCCGGGAUCAAUAAGCU